This is a long non-coding RNA of Helianthus annuus (common sunflower), 1378 nucleotides long. RefSeq lists it as uncharacterized. NCBI's taxonomy places the organism in Eukaryota, Viridiplantae, Streptophyta, Magnoliopsida, Asterales, Asteraceae. The record is from RefSeq and is a predicted model, not a curated record. The transcript is spliced from 9 exons.
AAUUUUCCUAUUUACUCUUCUUCUCUCAUACGCUUUCUUCACCGCCGCUCAUCAAGAUUUUCAAAUUAAUCUUCAGAACAAGGGUUUUCUCCAGAAACCCCUUUCUCUUAUCCAUCCAUCUGCGACAUACAUUCAAUCCUUCAUUCGUCUUCAAUAAGCAGUGUCUCCUCCACUGUCGCAGAUUACAAAAAUUGCCGUCCAUUUCUUCUGUCAGAGCAUUCAGGUUCUGCUGCGAACCCACCUGAAGAUGUAGAACGUUGGUUAUGUGGCGAUUAGGGUUUUACUGUGAACCCGAUGAUGGUGAUGAUCAGAUGUUAUCGGGGUGCUUUUUCUUUUCUUCCAUCUGUGGGUUAACUGUAGCUUCAGUCAUAGUUUGGAGCUUUGAAUUGGAGUUUUGAGCUUAAGAUGGGUAAUGCGUUUGUGGUUCCUAGGUAAUUAUUGGGUAAUUAAAGAUGGUAAUUAUAGGGUGCUUUUUCUUUUCUUCCAUCUGUGGGUUAACCGUAGCUUCAGUCAUAGUUUGGAGAUUUAAAACUUCAAUUUCAUACAUUUGUAUUGAUAUAUGCUACAAGUGCAGUGCAAAAAAAAGCAUACGCCAUUAAAUCAUUUACAUAGAGCAAAGGCUUGGUUUUCAGUUUCCAAUUGGUCAAGACCUCAAUUAGCUCUGUAUUGAACCUAUUUGUAUGUCAAAUAUGACAUGGUGUUCCGAUUUCAUUCGCCCUCAGGUGUGUUUCUCCGACUCUUUUAUCUACUAUCUGAAUUGGUUUCUCAUUCAUUGUUUGUUGUUGUUUGUUUUUGCUUAGUUAUAUUAUACAUAUGAAUUAUGAAAGCUCAUAAACAGUUCUACCUCAUGAUUGAUAGACGCAUAUAAGAAGGUUUACUUUGAAUCCAUGCCAUUAUUAGUAUCUCAAUAUUCAGUUGGUGCUAGCAUCGAAUGGAAAUCAAAACCAACAAAUCCAAUUCUUGGUCAAGGAUCCAAGUGAUUUUUCCACAAUGUUGUACUUGACGAGGGCAUAAUUUCUUACAAAAGCAACUUACUAUCUUCUUUACUUAUCUCAUGGGGCAUCUAAGAGACGACUCCACAAAGGUCAGUAAACAAGAAAAUAAAAUGCAGACAUGAUAGCGGAAGUAAUUUUGAUAAUGAGGAUCUCAAUGAGAGUAGAGUGGAAGCCAUGGGAGAUAUUGUCUUUUUGUUGAGUGUUUACCUUACAUUAUGACAUUUAGGUUCUUCAAAUCACCUCAUAAUACUACUACGUUGAGAAAAAAAAAUAUGUAUGAUUUUCACAAAAUGAUGGCUUUUAAAACUUGAACUCACAUUCUUAGAGACUAAUCUCUACAUGUAAUUUUCUUUUUCGAAAUGAUUUUUUCGUUUUAACCAAAA